GGAAAGGCAUUGCCAUUGGUGAGGCACUUCAGUUGCUAUCUGAACGAACUUUUGUUCUUAUGGGUUCAAUUCCCAUCUUUUCCG
Molecule: transfer RNA, 84 nt
Filed under: Apiotrichum gracile
Lineage: Eukaryota; Fungi; Basidiomycota; Tremellomycetes; Trichosporonales; Trichosporonaceae
Description: tRNA-Ser
Rfam family: tRNA
About the family: Transfer RNA (tRNA) molecules are approximately 80 nucleotides in length. Their secondary structure includes four short double-helical elements and three loops (D, anti-codon, and T loops).
Source: RNAcentral